CGGCUGUCUGGGCUUGAAGAGCCCUCUGUGUAGGGGCUGAAGUGUGCAGGCAGGGACAGCACUCCUAGAGAGACAAGAACAGCAGCAGAAAAUCUAAAUUCACCAACCAUAGAAAAUGGACAGCUGGGUCUGGUAUCGUUGUUUGAAUAAAAGACUGUUCUACUGUACAGUAGAUGGGAGACUCUCUGUAGAAACACUUGUUCUCUGUUUCCAUGUGGGUCAGUCUGGUGAAGUCAUUGGGAUACACAAAUGACAGUCUGUGAGGCUUUAAUGCAGUGUGUAGCUACAGUGAGUGUCCUAGAUUCAAUGUCCAUCACCUCAGACUGCAAUACAAAUUCA
This is a long non-coding RNA of Acipenser ruthenus (sterlet), 339 nucleotides long. RefSeq lists it as uncharacterized. NCBI's taxonomy places the organism in Eukaryota, Metazoa, Chordata, Actinopteri, Acipenseriformes, Acipenseridae. The transcript is spliced from 4 exons. The record is from RefSeq and is a predicted model, not a curated record.